This 85-nucleotide transfer RNA is filed under the name Prymnesium neolepis. It matches the Rfam family "tRNA". Rfam says of the family: Transfer RNA (tRNA) molecules are approximately 80 nucleotides in length. Their secondary structure includes four short double-helical elements and three loops (D, anti-codon, and T loops). Lineage: Eukaryota; Haptophyta; Prymnesiales; Prymnesiaceae. The record is from RNAcentral.
GAGAUGUGACCGAGUGGCUGAAGGUGCGCGCCUGGAAAGCGCGUAUGGCGGUAACGUCAUCGGGGGUUCGAAUCCCUCCAUCUCC